CCUACGGGCGGCAGCAGUGAGGAAUAUUGGUCAAUGGACGAGAGUCUGAACCAGCCAAGUAGCGUGAAGGAUGACUGCCCUAUGGGUUGUAAACUUCUUUUAUAUGGGAAUAAAAUGUUCCACGUGUGGGUUUUUGUAUGUACCAUAUGAAUAAGGAUCGGCUAACUCCGUGCCAGCAGCCGCGGUAAUACGGAGGAUCCGAGCGUUAUCCGGAUUUAUUGGGUUUAAAGGGAGCGUAGGUGGAUUGUUAAGUCAGUUGUGAAAGUUUGCGGCUCAACCGUAAAAUUGCAGUUGAUACUGGCAGUCUUGAGUACAGUAGAGGUGGGCGGAAUUCGUGGUGUAGCGGUGAAAUGCUUAGAUAUCACGAAGAACUCCGAUUGCGAAGGCAGCUCACUGGACUGCAACUGACACUGAGGCUCGAAAGUGUGGGUAUCAAACAGGAUUAGAUACCCCUGUAGUC
This 460-nucleotide ribosomal RNA is filed under the name uncultured bacterium. Its description in RNAcentral is "partial 16S ribosomal RNA". It matches the Rfam family "Bacterial small subunit ribosomal RNA", at positions 338 to 795 of the family's 1533-position model. The record is from RNAcentral.